This 536-nucleotide long non-coding RNA is filed under the name Junco hyemalis (dark-eyed junco). Its description in RNAcentral is "lncRNA (ENSJHYG00000015953.1)". The record is from RNAcentral. Lineage: Eukaryota; Metazoa; Chordata; Aves; Passeriformes; Passerellidae.
UUGGGCUGGAAGGCACCUUUAAAGGUUAUCUAGUCCAACCUCCCUGCAAUAAGCAGGGCAUCUUCAACUAGACCAGGUUGUUCAGAGCCCUUGAAUAUUUCCAGACAUGGGCCAUCCACAACUUCUCUGACCAACAUGUUUCAGUGUUUUACCACUCCCACUGUAAAAAAAAAUUUCUUUAUAUCUAAUCUAAACCAAAUCUCCUUUAGUUUUAAACCAUUGUUCUCGUUCUAUUGCAACAUAUCCUACUAAAAGGUUUGUUGUCAUCUUUUUUACAGGUCCCCUUUAGGUACCAGAAAGUUGCUGUGAGGUCUCCCUGGAGCCUUCUCUUCUCCACGCUGAACAGUCCCAAAUCUCUCACCCUGUCUUCACAGGAGAAGUGCUCCAGCCCUCUGAUUGCCUUUGUGGCCUCCUCCGGACUCAUUCCAACAGGUCCAUGGACUCAGGAGUCCAGUAUUAUCUACUGGCAUUAUGCCUAUAGAAGAGGAAGAGCUGACAACCAGGCACACAUACCUGAAUGCCAUGGGCGAUUGUAG